This 828-nucleotide ribosomal RNA is filed under the name Sporocadus sorbi. RNAcentral describes it as "partial large subunit ribosomal RNA". It matches the Rfam family "Eukaryotic large subunit ribosomal RNA", at positions 69 to 922 of the family's 3401-position model. The record is from RNAcentral. Lineage: Eukaryota; Fungi; Ascomycota; Sordariomycetes; Amphisphaeriales; Sporocadaceae.
CAGGGAUUGCCCUAGUAACGGCGAGUGAAGCGGCAACAGCUCAAAUUUGAAAUCUGGCCCUUGGGUCCGAAUUGUAAUUUGUAGAGGAUGUUUUUGGUGCGGUAUCUUCCGAGUUCCUUGGAACAGGACGCCUUAGAGGGUGAGAGCCCCGUACGGUUGAAUGCCUAGCCUUUGUAAAACUCCUUCGACGAGUCGAGUAGUUUGGGAAUGCUGCUCUAAAUGGGAGGUAAAUUUCUUCUAAAGCUAAAUACCGGCCAGAGACCGAUAGCGCACAAGUAGAGUGAUCGAAAGAUGAAAAGCACUUUGAAAAGAGGGUUAAAUAGCACGUGAAAUUGUUGAAAGGGAAGGAUUUAUGACCAGACUUUUCCUAGGCGAAUCAUCCGGUGUUCUCACCGGUGCACUUCGUUUAGUUUAGGCCAGCAUCGAUUUUCGGGGCGGGAUAAAAGCUUUAGGAAUGUGGCUCCCUCGGGAGUGUUAUAGCCUAUUGUAUAAUACCGCCCUGGGGAUCGAGGUACGCGCUUCUGCAAGGAUGCUGGCGUAAUGGUUAUCAAUCACCCGUCUUGAAACACGGACCAAGGAGUCGAACAUUUGUGCAAGUGUUUGGGUGUUAAACCCUCACGCGUAAUGAAAGUGAACGGAGGUGAGAGCCCUUUACGGGGUGCAUCAUCGACCGAUCCUGAUGUCUUCGGAUGGAUUUGAGUAAGAGCAUAAAUGUUCGGACCCGAAAGAUGGUGAACUAUGCGUGGAUAGGGUGAAGCCAGAGGAAACUCUGGUGGAGGCUCGCAGCGGUUCUGACGUGCAAAUCGAUCGUCAAAUCUGCGCAUGGGG